GGUCCUAUCGUCUAGUGGUUUAGGACAUCACUCUUUCAAGGUGAAGACACGGGUUCGACUCCCGUUAGGACCA
Molecule: transfer RNA, 73 nt
Filed under: Pseudomonadota bacterium
Lineage: Bacteria; Pseudomonadati; Pseudomonadota
Also listed under: 2 other names
Description: tRNA-Glu
Rfam family: tRNA
About the family: Transfer RNA (tRNA) molecules are approximately 80 nucleotides in length. Their secondary structure includes four short double-helical elements and three loops (D, anti-codon, and T loops). Further hydrogen bonds mediate the characteristic L-shaped molecular structure. tRNAs have two regions of fundamental functional importance: the anti-codon, which is responsible for specific mRNA codon recognition, and the 3' end, to which the tRNAs corresponding amino acid is attached (by aminoacyl-tRNA synthetases). tRNAs cope with the degeneracy of the genetic code in two manners: having more than one tRNA (with a specific anti-codon) for a particular amino acid; and 'wobble' base-pairing, i.e. permitting non-standard base-pairing at the 3rd anti-codon position.
Source: RNAcentral